This 332-nucleotide ribosomal RNA is filed under the name uncultured bacterium. Its description in RNAcentral is "bacterial SSU rRNA". It matches the Rfam family "Bacterial small subunit ribosomal RNA", at positions 30 to 402 of the family's 1533-position model. The record is from RNAcentral.
AUUGAACGCUGGCGGCAGGCCUAACACAUGCAAGUCGAGCGGGGUUUUCGGACCUAGCGGCGGACGGGUGAGUAAUGCGUAGGAAGCUACCCGAUAGAGGGGAUACCAGUUGGAACGACUGUUAAUACCGCAUAAUGUCUACGGACCAAAGUGUGGGACCUUCGGGCCACAUGCUAUCGGAUGCGCCUACGUGGGAUUAGCUAGUUGGUGAGGUAAUGGCUCACCAAGGCGACGAUCUCUAGCUGGUACUGAGACACGGACCAGACUCCUACGGGAGGCAGCAGUAAGGAAUAUUGCACAAUGGGCGCAAGCCUGAUGCAGCGACGCCGCGU